CAGGUCCCUGCAGCCCUGGCCCUCUGGCCCAGUUGCAGAGCCGCCAGCGCGACUACAAGCUGGCUGCCCUCCACGCCAAGCAGCAGGGAGAUACCACUGCUGCCGCUAGACACUUCCGCGUGGCUAAGAGCUUUGAUGCUGUCUUGGAGGCCCUGAGCCGGGGUGAACCCGUGGACCUCUCCUGCCUGCCCCCUCCACCCGACCAGCUGCCCCCAGACCCACCGUCACCACCGUC
This 235-nucleotide long non-coding RNA is filed under the name Pan troglodytes (chimpanzee). RNAcentral describes it as "long non-coding RNA NONPTRT007992". Lineage: Eukaryota; Metazoa; Chordata; Mammalia; Primates; Hominidae. The record is from RNAcentral.